Brassica rapa (field mustard) is the source of this 2313-nucleotide long non-coding RNA. RefSeq lists it as uncharacterized. The record is from RefSeq and is a predicted model, not a curated record. Lineage: Eukaryota; Viridiplantae; Streptophyta; Magnoliopsida; Brassicales; Brassicaceae.
AAAAAAUAUACCGUAUACUUAUUAUGUUUUAAAAAUUGAUAGACACACAUAUAUAUAUAUAUAUAUAUAUAUAUAUAUAUAUUAUAAUAUAUACCAAUUUAGAAUUGAAAACAAAAUGUUUAUAUAAAAAUAAAUAAAAACAAAAAACUCACACGGUUGCGUGGAUCGAGAUCUAGUAUAGAUUAUUUGCUAUAAAAGUAUCUUGCCACAUUGUGUAAGUGCAUAUGAGGCGACAAAAAUAAUGUGCAGAAAGUAAGAACAUACAAAAAUUGUUAACAGGUUUGUUUCCUACAUCUCCGAAAUCUUGUCUAGAUUUCAUUGACUUAGAACAAGUAGCAACCUAUAAUUUCUAUAUGGUACAACACAAACACUUGUGUCUACCACUCUUUUCUAAAUAUGUACUCUAUGAAAAAUAGGAAUCAAGCACGCAUGCAUAGAUCACUAUCCGGCGCACCAGAGUUCAAUGUCUUCUACAAAUGUAAUCUUCACAGACCACCACAACGAAAUCACUCUCGUGCUAAACUUCUCCUGAGUCUAAGCUUAAAUCUUCCACGUCUCGGAAGCAUUUCACCAGGUACGUCGGCACCCAAGGCACACAAGUAACACAAAAGAGUACGUCAACUCCAACACAUAACAUGCUCACCACAAGCUCAACACAACGGCUACUCCACCAUACAAAGCGUCAACUCCAACACCACCAAACUAAAUCUACAUCAGACUCCAUCAAACAAUGCUUCAAAAUGUCCUUUGACACCAAGCAAUAACACACACUAAUGAAACAUAUCUCUCUCUUUUCUAUGAAGUCUGGCUUUCUUAUAAGACAUGUCCCUCCUUAUAUAACAUGCCAGAACUUGUUCUCCACGUCUUCAACUUUUUCAAGUCUUUAAAUGCUCUUUAAGCAAAUUUUCUUUUCCAUUUAAACCACUUUCUUUUCUUUGUAAAGGUAAACCUCCUCUCUAAGCAAAACCUUUUGCUUAAUGGAAAAUAUUCUUUUGUCUUCAAGCACAUAUAUUAUUUCUUUCUCCAAACUCAGCAAGCCCAUGCAAUCACAAAACCUGAACUUCCAUUCAGCUUCAUCUUUACGUACACGCAUGUACUAUCUCCUGUAAUACUUCACGAACUGAUACAGAUCAUCUCAGCAGACUGCAUCUUCACAUUGUGUUUUGGCUGAUAAAAAUACCGAGAGAUCAUCAUUGAUUGAACUAAAUCUAAACCCUAAUUAAGCAUCAUUGAUAAGCAGGCAUGUUGAUAAGUAAAAGUAUCUUGGUUAAUCUGGUGAAAAAUAUGAAAGAUCCUGUAGAGAAAGCAACGGCUGAGAUUUAUUACCAAAAAUAGAAAAAGUACAAAGACCACUAGAUCUCCUCCUCCAAAUCCAAAACACAAUCCAGCUGAUACUGUUUCGGGCUUCUAUAAUUGCUGAAUCUCCUUUCUCAGUGUCUUCUCGUUUAAAUAGAAAAGGCAACAAAUAUAUAUUUGAGUUUUUGUUACUCAGAAGAAAGAUAACGAGUGAGAUGGCUGAUGAAGUUUCAAAUCUGGCAGAGUCAAAGUUAACAGCUUUGAUAGUUCUAUAAACCAAAGCAUGCAUCUUAAACUAUCGGACCGUCUGGGGGGUAAAAUCGACGUCAUCUGUAACGGCCAAGAAGCCGUUGACGUUCAUUGUUCCGGCAGAAACUAUGAUCUCAUUGACUCAUUCACAUGGACAUGGACAUGCCCAUCAUGAACGGUAUUCAGGUGAGAUGGCGACAAAGAGACAAAGAGACCGUGAUCUUAAUGACUUUCAAGAGAAACCUCUCACCAUCUCUAAGCUUCUCUCUAUUCUUCAUAAACUUGAUUUUUACGUCCAGACCUAGUCAAAUAGUCUCAAUUUGUUAAUCUUUACUUAUUUGAUAUUACAUACUUGUAGUUUUGAAUAUUCGUUACAUACUUCCAAAUAUUAAUUAAUUACCAAUCAAUUCAAUAAAGUUUGCGAGCAAGUCAGGCUCAGGCUUCAGAAAAUAGGUCGGAUUAUGAAUUAUGAUGAUUUAUCACGGCAUCUUCAUCUCUGCCAUUCUCACAUGUUAAUCAAUCGGGUUGGUUUGUAGCUAAAGGAAUAUGGAAAUCAGUGACUUGUCACGUGAAAAGAGCUAAUGUGUAUCGAUCGCUUAAUCCGAACUAUCUUGCUUGUGAAAAAGUGUGGAGUCAAAAACAAAAACAAAAACAAAAAUGUUAUUAAUAUAAAGGUAAACACAAUUCAUUCACAAUUACCGUUAUUAGCAAGGACCAUGUGUUAGGCUCAUUUGGCGCUUAGACCUGCCUAAGAUCAGGUCAAGAGUA